GACGAACGCUGGCGGCGUGCUUAACACAUGCAAGUCGAACGGAAAGGCCCCGCUUUUUUGGGGUGCUCGAGUGGCGAACGGGUGAGUAACACGUGGGUAACCUGCCCUUGACUUUGGGAUAACCUCAGGAAACUGGGGCUAAUACUGGAUAUGACCUCCUGCUUCAUGGGGUGUGUUGGAAAGUUUUGGCGGUUGGGGAUGGCCUCGCGGCUUAUCAGCUUGUUGGUGGGGUGAUGGCUUACCAGGGCAUCGACGGGUAGCCGGCCUGAGAGGGUGACCGGCCACAUUGGGACUGAGAUACGGCCCAGACUCCUACGGGAGGCAGCAGUGGGGAAUAUUGCACAGUGGGCGGAAGCCUGAUGCAGCGACGCCGCGUGAGGGAUGACGGCCUUCGGGUUGUAAACCGCUUUCAGCAGUGACGAAGCGUAAGUGACGGUAACGGGAAAAGAAGCACCGGCUAACUACGUG
This 468-nucleotide ribosomal RNA is filed under the name uncultured bacterium. RNAcentral describes it as "partial 16S ribosomal RNA". It matches the Rfam family "Bacterial small subunit ribosomal RNA", at positions 28 to 507 of the family's 1533-position model. The record is from RNAcentral.